Unclassified non-coding RNA from Callithrix jacchus (white-tufted-ear marmoset), 288 nucleotides. It matches the Rfam family "Metazoan signal recognition particle RNA". Rfam says of the family: The signal recognition particle (SRP) is a universally conserved ribonucleoprotein. Lineage: Eukaryota; Metazoa; Chordata; Mammalia; Primates; Cebidae. The record is from Ensembl.
GCUUGCCUGUAGUCCCGGCUACUCAAGAGGCUGAGGUGGGAGGAUCGCUUGAGCCCAGGAGUUCUGGGCUAUAUAGUGCGCUAUGCCAAUUGGGUGUCUGCACUAAGUUGGGCAUCAAUAUGGUGACCUCCCACCAUCAAUAUGGUGACCAGGUUGCCUAAGGAGGGGUGAACCGGCCCAGGCUGGAAAUGGAGCAGGUCAAAACUCCCCUGCCAAUCAGUAGUGGGAUCGUGGCUGUGAAUAGCCACUGCACUCCAGCCUGGGCAACAAAGCGAGACCCCGUCUCUU